CCAGGUGGAGGGGAAGGGCCUAACAGGCAGAGGGAACAGCCCCAGAGAGAUCCCUGAGGCAAUCAUGCAAGCCAAAAAGAAAGCAGUGAGGAUGUAAAGGAGACAAUCUCCUGGGAGCCAAGAUUUCCUAACUGAUAAAGUGUGAGCUAGAGGGAGCCUCAGUUCAGCCUGAGGCAGGUCCCAGCAAAUUUAGGACUUCAAGUCACACUGGUCAGCGUUAACUUCCUUGACAGAAAAACCACACCCACCAAGUCUUCCGCCAGGCCCUCUAACCCUCUACUUUCCGACACAGAAGAGAGGGCAGAGCACCGCAGUCUGUCUGCCUUGGGGUCAAAGUGAGUAAUUUUCCAGGCAGAGGAGGAAGAUUAAGAAGGCAGGCGCUAACUCCUUCGGGUAUGAUGAAUUCCUGGGAUCCCAGAACAGCUGGGCUGGAAGGGACCUCGAAAAGGGAAUUGCCAACACAUGCCCCGUACCAGGCCCUGAGCCCGGCCUUUUCGUGAACAUUGUCUUAACACUUCUAACUCCACUUUGAGAAAUGGCAGCGGGAAGGCAGCAGAUGGACUGCGACUCCCGUCAGGUACCACACACGCGGAGGGUUGUGGACAAGAGGGCGUGUGAGUGCCUGGGAAGGAGGUCGGGUCGGGGGAGAAGGCCAUCUUGUUUGUAGUCAUCGUUCCCGCUCCUUCUCUAUGCUCUGCAACGGGGAGCCUCGGGGCAACCGGACUAUAACUCCCGGCACCCUCGGCUCCCGGCUUGGCACGUCCUCCGCCAUCUCGUUUGUAGUACCCGCUGGCCCCAGCGUCCUAUUGUCCUCAUCAUAGCACCAGCGUCCGCAGGACUACGACUUCCGUCGUGCCCUGCGCGUAUCCGUCCUGGAAAGAGGAGGUGGUGGGGAAAGGAGGGGGCAGGGGGCGGGGUUCCU
This 922-nucleotide long non-coding RNA is filed under the name Sus scrofa (pig). RNAcentral's name for it is "lncRNA (ENSSSCG00065078901.1)". The record is from RNAcentral. Lineage: Eukaryota; Metazoa; Chordata; Mammalia; Artiodactyla; Suidae.